AGCGUUGUAUGUGGGUUGAAGGUGUACCGUAAGGAGCGCUGGACAGCAUACAAGUGAGAAUGCCGGUAUGAGUAACGAAAAGAUCAGUGAGAAUCUGAUCCGCCGAAAGCCCAAGGUUUCCUGAGGAAGGCUCGUCCGCUCAGGGUAAGUCGGGACCUAAGGCGAGGCCGAAAGGCGUAGUCGAAGGACAACAGUUUGAAAUUACUGUACCACCGUAAUCCGCUAUGAGCGAUGGGGUGACGCAGGAGGGUAGUGACGCGGACUGAUGGAUAUGUCCGUCUAAGCAGUGAGGCUGAUGUGUAGGCAAAUCCGCACAUCGUUAAGGCUGGGCUGUGAUGGGGAGCGAAAAUUGUAGUAGCGAAGGUCAUGAUCUCACACUGCCAAGAAAAGCCUCUAGCCAGGAGAAGGUGCCCGUACCGCAAACCGACACAGGUAGGCGAGGAGAGAAUCCUAAGGUGAUCGAGAGAACUCUCGUUAAGGAACUCGGCAAAAUGACCCCGUAACUUCGGGAGAAGGGGUGCCCCGGUAGUGUGAAUAGCACGAGGGGGCCGCAGUGAAAAGGCCCAAGCGACUGUUUAGCAAAAACACAGGUCUCUGCGAAGCCGCAAGGCGAAGUAUAGGGGCUGACGCCUGCCCGGUGCUGGAAGGUUAAGAGGAGAGGUUAGCUCACGCGAAGCUUUGAAUCGAAGCCCCAGUAAACGGCGGCCGUAACUAUAACGGUCCUAAGGUAGCGAAAUUCCUUGUCGGGUAAGUUCCGAC
RNAcentral lists this ribosomal RNA (759 nucleotides) under Salmonella enterica subsp. enterica serovar Kentucky. Its description in RNAcentral is "partial 23S ribosomal RNA". It matches the Rfam family "Bacterial large subunit ribosomal RNA", at positions 1235 to 1987 of the family's 2925-position model. Lineage: Bacteria; Pseudomonadati; Pseudomonadota; Gammaproteobacteria; Enterobacterales; Enterobacteriaceae. The record is from RNAcentral.